This 401-nucleotide ribosomal RNA is filed under the name uncultured Arthrobacter sp. Its description in RNAcentral is "bacterial SSU rRNA". It matches the Rfam family "Bacterial small subunit ribosomal RNA", at positions 340 to 735 of the family's 1533-position model. Lineage: Bacteria; Bacillati; Actinomycetota; Actinomycetes; Micrococcales; Micrococcaceae. The record is from RNAcentral.
UACGGGAGGCAGCAGUGGGGAAUAUUGCACAAUGGGCGCAAGCCUGAUGCAGCGACGCCGCGUGAGGGAUGAAGGCCUUCGGGUUGUAAACCUCUUUCAGUAGGGAAGAAGCUGGUCCUUUGGGGUUGGUGACGGUACCUGCAGAAGAAGCGCCGGCUAACUACGUGCCAGCAGCCGCGGUAAUACGUAGGGCGCAAGCGUUAUCCGGAAUUAUUGGGCGUAAAGAGCUCGUAGGCGGUUUGUCGCGUCUGCCGUGAAAGUCCGGGGCUUAACUUCGGAUCUGCGGUGGGUACCGGGCAGACUAGAAGUGCAGUGGGGGAGACUGGAAUUUCCUGGUGUAGCGGUUGAAAUGCGCAGAUAUCAGGAGGAACACCCGAUGGCGAAGGCAAGUCUUCUGGGCU